UAUCUAGUUAUAUCCAUUUAUUUAGUGUUAUUCAUUCUAAAACUAGUUGCAUUGUCUUCCCUACAUAGGUUAUAUUUAAAAUAUUAUUAGAACACUAUCCUUUCUUGCUCCUUGACCAAAAUAAUAAUAGAUUAAAAUUGAUUGUUGGUCUAGAACUAAUUCCUGCAUCAUUGAAUUCCUAUCGGAAAGCUAAUUUGCACACAUUAUUCUAUUAGUAUGACAAAAAGUUCUAAAAAUAGGUCUGGAUUAAAGUUGGAGAAAAAAUAAAUUGUUGUGAAAGUGACUUUUGUGCCUUUUACUAUUGGUAAACCAUGGCUUCUUGACACUUGAUGUUUGUGGUGAAUUUUGAAUUCGAAUGUUUUGGUUCGUCACUUCUUAUUUUUUUUAGCUAAUUACUUCAAUUUAUCUAAUAUUUGUUCUCAGACCAAAUCUGUUCGUCUUUUGUAAAUCAUCACUUCUUGAAAGUUAAUGUCUGUUGGGGAGUCCUAAACUUGAUUGUUGUGGUUUUUCAAUGACAAUUUCUUUUUAUGUAGUUACAUCCAUUUAUUUAGUUUUGUUCAUCAUAAAAAUGAUUGCAUUGCCUUCCCUGCUUAAAUUAUAUUUAAAAUAUUACUAGAACCACAAUACUUUUAUGCCCCUUGGCCAUAGUAAUAACAGAUAAAAAAUGAUUGUUGGUCCAUAGGACUAAUUCUUGCAUCAUUGCAUUCCACCCAAAACGCUAAUUUGCACGCAUUAUUCUAUUAGUGUGAAAAAAGUGUUGAAAGAUUGGUGUGGAUUAAAGUUAGUGAAAAAAUAAAUUGUCGUAAAAUGAAUUUUGUGGUUUAUCAACAAUCUGAUUCCAUCAAUUAUUUAGUAUUGUUGUUGGAUCAUCUCUCUCCGCCCCAUAAUGUGUAAACUAUGGCCUUUUGAAACUUAUUGUUUGUGGAGAAUUUUGAAUUUGAGUGAGUUUAUCACUGACAAUUUCUUUUUAGUCAUUGCUUCAAUUUAUCUGGUAUUAUCUUUUGAUCAUCUCUCUUGAUCCUAUAUAAAUUAUCACUUUCUGAAACUUAAUUUCUGUGAGGGAAUUCUGAACUUGAAUGUUGUGGAUAACAUUGUCAAUUUCUUUCUAUCGAGUUACGUGCAUUUAUUAAGUAUUAUUCAUACUAAAAACAGUUGCAUUGCCAUCCUAGUGUAUAUUAUAUUUAAAAUAUUAUUAGAUCACCAUCCUUUCAUUCUCCUUGGGCAAUAUAAUAAUGGAUAAAUAUUGAUUGUUGGUCCAAAACUAAUUCCUACAUCAUUGCGUUCCACCUGAAAUGCUGAUUUGCACACAUUCUUCUAUUAAUAUGAAAAAAAAGCGCUGGAAAACAGGUGUUUAUUAAAGUUGGAGAAAAAAAUAAAUUGCUAUGAAAAUGAAUUUUGUGGUUUAUCAGCAAUCUAAUUAUAUCAAUUAUUUAGUAUUGUUGUUGGAUCAUCUCUCUCAGCCCUGUAAUAUGUGUAAACUAUGGAUUUUUGAGGCUUAAUGUAUGUUGGGAAUUCUGAAUUCGAAUGUUGUCGUUUAUCACUGUCUAUUUCUUCUUAGCUAAUGACUUCAAUUUAUCAAGUAUUGUUCCUGGAUCACAUCUCUUGGUCUUGUGUCACUUUUUGAAACUUAAUACCUGUUGUGUAAUCCUGAGCGUGAAUGUUGUGGUUUAUGUAGUAUUAUUCAUUCUAAAAAUGGUUGCAUUGCCUUUCACUGUUUUAAGUUAUAUUUAAAAUGUAAAUAGAACCCCAAUCUUUUCUUUUGUCCUCAGCCAAAAUGAUAAUAGAAAAAAAUUGAUUGUUGGUCUAUAUAAAACUAAUUCCUGCACCUCGAAUUCAAAUUUUCACACAUUCUUCUAUUAGUAUGAAAAAAAGUGCUGGAAAACUGGUGUGGUUAAAGUUGGUGAAAAAAAUAAAUUGUAAUAAAAUUGAAUGGAUUGGGGUUCUAUUUACAUUUUAAACCAUGUAAAACCGUAUAUUUUGAAUAGUGUAAACCAUGUAAAAUUGUAUAUUUUUACUUGUGUGAUAUUUUUAUUUGAGAGGAAAAAGAUUUUACUUUGAAUAGUGUGUUGUGUCUCAAGGAUUCUGCAUUCUGGUUGCAACAAGCUCUAUGGUUGAGAACAAUUUCACUUCAUCAUCUUAGUUAUUACCAUGAGCCUUGAACAAAAAUAUUUGAUUACAGGCUUUAUGUCUUCUCAUUCGUUUUUUGUUUUCUAUCUUUAUUUUUGAAACCAAGAGGUGAAAAUUUGAAAAAUAUUGAUUCCAUUAACUUUUUACUUCCAACAUUGAUUUACGUAGGUAUGCAAAUGUUUGGGCUAGCACCAUCCUUUUACUUUAUAAGUUUUUGUGACAUGUUAAUUUUGUUAUGUGCUCUGUUCUGUUGUUUUCAUAAACCUGCAAAAUUGAUGGAACGAGCAUUUUGGAUUGAGGUAAUGUUGCACUUUUUUUAAUUUUUGGUUCCAUGUUGUUUACGUGUACCUAAUCUUCUUUUUGGUUCUGUAGGAUGGGAUUUCAAUUAUGACUUUUAUUUUGUAUUGUAUUAUGCAAUUACGAAGGUUUUUCGCCAGCUGAGGGAGCCCUGUAACACGUUGGGCAUCUUUGGCUUUUGGUGCUGGAAUGGGUAUUGGGUCAGCAUACACAGAGUGCUCAUAAAAGUUUGAUGGAUCUCCUGCAAAAAUCCACCCCCAUGAUUUCAGAUACUCCAGCUUUUUUGGGAGCCGUGUAACACAUUGGGCAUCUUUGGCUUUUGGUGCUGGAGUGGGUAUUGGGUCAGCUUACACAGAGUGCUCAUACAAGUUUGAUGGAUCUCCUGCAAAGCUAUCCACCCCCACAAUUUCAGAUACUCCAGCUUCUCUGGUAAGUUUCUUCUCUGCUUUAUGACUUGCUCGAGUGAUGUAUGUUUUGUCACUUUCCUUUCAUUUUUAUUUUUUUGUUACUCACUCAAUAUAACUUUUCCAUUUCAUAGCCUUAUGAGAAAAAUUGUGAUUAUAUAUUAGUGAAUAAUUUUGGGGUUAUCUACAUCUUCUUAGCCAAUUCAUCCUAACAUGUUUUCUGCUUGGGAACAACGACACAAUGGAUGUGUCCUAUGUGUCCGUUUCCUUUUACACCCUAUGCACUUAUACCAGAGUUUUGGCUAAAUCCCUUAACAUGUUACAUUAACUAGUUUUUAGAUGAACAAAAAAUAAAGCAAUUAAAACUUUAAACGAUGAUUCCUUCUCUUUCUCUCUAUCUGUCAGUGUGUUUGAAACUUAAUGGUUGUGGAGAUUUUUGAAUUUUGAAUGUUGGGAGUUCAUCACUACCUAUUUUUUUAGCUAAUAAUUUCAAUUUAUCUAGUACUAUUCUUCGAUCAACUCUAUUGGUUUUGUGAAAAUCAUCACUUUUUAGAACUUAAUGUUCGUUGUGGAAUCCUGAAAUUGAAUGUUGUGGUUUAUCAAUGCCAAUUUCCUUUUAUCUAGUUACAUCUAUUUAUUUAAUAUUAUUCAUUCUAAACUGAUUUGCACACAUUAGUGAAAAAAAUAAACUAAUUCCUGCAUCAUUGGAAAGCUAAUUUGCACACAUUCUUUUAUUAAUAUGAAUAAAAUUGUUGAAAAACAAGUGUGGUUUAAAAUUUGAGAAAAAAAUACAUUAUUGUUCAAAUAAAUUGUGGUUUAUCAAUAAUUUAAUUACAUUAAUUAUUUAGUAUUGUUGUUGGAUCAUCUGUCUGUAAUAUAUGUCAACUUUAGUUUUUUGAGACUUAAUGUUUCUAGAGAAGUUUAAAUUUGAAUGUUGAGAUUCAUUAUUGCCUAAUCACUUUCUAAAAUUUAUCAAGGAUUAUUAUUGGAUCAUCUCUCAUGAUCUUGUGUAAAUAAUCACCUUCUAAAUUUUUAACGUGCAUAGGGAAAUUAUAAACCUAAAUGUUGUGAUUUAUUAAUGUUAAUUUCUUUUUAUGUGGUUACUUCUAUUAUUCAUUCUAAAAAUGAUUGCAUUGCCUUUCUUGCAUAAGUUAUAUUUGAAACAUUACUAGAACUACAAUCCUGUCUUACUCCUUUGCAAAAAUAAUAUUAGAUAAAAAAAAUUAUUUAUUGAUCCAUAUAACUAAUUUAUGCAUUCCACCUAAAAUGCUAAUUUGCACAUAUUCUUUGAUUAGUAUAAAAAAAAGUGCUGAAAAAUUAGUGUGGAAUAAAGUUGGUGAAAAUAUAAACUAUGAGUGUAUUUUGUGAUUUAUCAACAAUCUAGUUACAUUAAUUUUUUAGUAUUGUUGUUAGAUCAUCUCUCUAUGCCUUGUAAUGUGUAAACCAUGACUUUUUGAAACUUAAUAUUUGUGAUAAAUUUGAAUUUGAAUAUUGUGAUUUAUUACUGUCUAUUUGUUUUUUUUUUAGCUAAUCACUUUAAUUAUCUAACAUUGUUAUUGGAUUAUCUCUUUUGGUCUUGUGUAAAUAAUCCAUUUUUGGAAUUUAAUGUUCGUUGGGAAAUUCUGAACCUGAUUGUUGUGAUUUAUUAUAGUUAAUUUCCUUUUAUCUAGUUAAAUCUAUUUAUUUAAUAUUAUUUGUUCUGAUAAUGGUUGCAUUGCUUUCUUUGAGUAAGUUAUAUUUAAAAUAUUAUUAGAACCAUAAUUUUUUCAUACUUUUUUUCUAAAAUAAUAAUAGAUAAAAAAUUGAUUGUUGGUUUAUAUAACUAAUUUAUUCAUCAUUACAUUCCAACUAGAAUGCUAAUUUGCACACAUUCUUGUGAUAAAAUGAAAAAACGUUUUUAGAAAUAGGUGUUGAUUAAAGUUGGUGACAAAGGUGCGUUCUUUUUACUUUUUAAUUUUUAGUUUUGAGUUUAAAUUUAUUUUCAGUUUUCUGUUUUGGUAGUUUUUUUUAGAAAAUUGAAAAUGUGUUCUUUUUAUCAUUUUGAAAAAUUAUU
Diospyros lotus (date-plum) is the source of this 4881-nucleotide long non-coding RNA. RefSeq lists it as uncharacterized. Lineage: Eukaryota; Viridiplantae; Streptophyta; Magnoliopsida; Ericales; Ebenaceae. The record is from RefSeq and is a predicted model, not a curated record. The transcript is spliced from 3 exons.